GAUGAACGCUGGCGGCGUGCCUAAUACAUGCAAGUAGAACGCUGAAGGAGGAGCUUGCUUCUCUGGAUGAGUUGCGAACGGGUGAGUAACGCGUAGGUAACCUGCCUUGUAGCGGGGGAUAACUAUUGGAAACGAUAGCUAAUACCGCGUAAGAUUAGAUGUUGCAUGACAUUUGCUUAAAAGGUGCAAUUGCAUCACUACCAGAUGCACCUGCGUUGUAUUAGCUAGUUGGUGUGGUAACGGCUCACCAAGGCGACGAUACAUAUCCGACCUGAGAGGGUGGACAGCCACACUGGGAAUGGGACACGGCCCAGACUCCUGCGGGAGGGAGCAGGAGGGAAACUUCGGCAAUGGACGGAAGGCUGACCGAGCAAAGCCGCGGGGGUGAAGAAGGUUUUCGGGUCGUAAAACUCUGUUGUAAGAGAAGGAAGAGAGUGAGAGUGAAAAGUUCACGCUGUGACGGUACCUUACCAGAAAGAGACGGCUAACUACGUG
Molecule: ribosomal RNA, 495 nt
Filed under: uncultured bacterium
Lineage: Bacteria
Description: partial 16S ribosomal RNA
Rfam family: Bacterial small subunit ribosomal RNA
Source: RNAcentral